Molecule: non-coding RNA, 47 nt
Organism: Stegodyphus mimosarum
Lineage: Eukaryota; Metazoa; Arthropoda; Arachnida; Araneae; Eresidae
Source: Rfam
AAAAAGGCCCUCUUCAGGGCUACAAAUUAAAAAAAAUUCAGAACUAU